GUAAUUCCAGCUCCAAUAGCGUAUAUUAAAAUUGUUGCAGUUAAAAAGCUCGUAGUUGAAUUUCUGCUGCAUUGCUUGUGUCCCUCCGGGGUCUGUGCAUGUGGCUUUUUUCGGACGGAGUUUCUUUGUCUGAAUGUUUACUUUGAGAAAAUUAGAGUGCUCAAAGCAGGCUUUUGCCUUGAAUAGUUUAGCAUGGAAUAAUAAAGUAGGACUUUGGUUCUAUUUUGUUGGUUUUAGGUACCAAAGUAAUGGUUAAUAGGAACAGUUGGGGGCAUUCGUAUUUAACUGUCAGAGGUGAAAUUCUUAGAUUUGUUAAAGACGAACUACUGCGAAAGCAUUUGCCAAGGAUGUUUUCAUUAAUCAAGAACGAAAGUUAGGGGAUCGAAGACGAUCAGAUACCGUCGUAGUCCUAACCAUAAACAAUGCCGACUAGAGAUUGGAGGUCGUCAGUUUUUACGACUCCUUCAGCACCUUGAGAGAAA
RNAcentral lists this ribosomal RNA (482 nucleotides) under Theileria lestoquardi. RNAcentral's name for it is "SSU rRNA". It matches the Rfam family "Eukaryotic small subunit ribosomal RNA", at positions 579 to 1097 of the family's 1831-position model. Lineage: Eukaryota; Apicomplexa; Aconoidasida; Piroplasmida; Theileriidae. The record is from RNAcentral.